This 255-nucleotide ribosomal RNA is filed under the name uncultured prokaryote. Its description in RNAcentral is "partial 16S ribosomal RNA". It matches the Rfam family "Bacterial small subunit ribosomal RNA", at positions 524 to 777 of the family's 1533-position model. The record is from RNAcentral.
UACGGAGGAUGCAAGCGUUAUCCGGAUUCAUUGGGUUUAAAGGGUGCGUAGGCGGGCUAUUAAGUCAGUGGUGAAAUCCUGCAGCUUAACUGCAGAACUGCCGUUGAUACUGAUAGUCUUGAGUUUGGUUAAGGUAGGCGGAAUGUGUAAUGUAGCGGUGAAAUGCUUAGAUAUUACACAGAACACCAAUUGCGUAGGCAGCUUACUGAGCCGACACUGACGCUGAGGCACGAAAGCGUGGGGAGUCAAACAGGA